Molecule: long non-coding RNA, 2372 nt
Filed under: Sus scrofa (pig)
Lineage: Eukaryota; Metazoa; Chordata; Mammalia; Artiodactyla; Suidae
Description: lncRNA (ENSSSCG00060004781.1)
Source: RNAcentral
CCUGGCAGCCCAAGCGUCCCCACCCGGUUUCCGGCGCUGCCUCCUUCAGGAGGCCGGGUUCUCGGUUCUCGCUUUCAUGGGCACUGGCCCCUCCGACUGGACCGGCCCUCCCCUGCUUCCUUCCCAUUCCCUUUCGUGUCUCCUCCUCCAGCGGGCCUCCCCUGACUCCCAGGCCGUGUUGGGUGCCUCCUGCCCAAGCCCCCAGCGAGCCCCUCAGGCCCCGCCGUGAUCAUCCGUCUUGAUCUCCUCUGUGCAGGGCUCCAGCGCCUCCAGUAGAUGAGGCGCUCUGGGAGGGCAGGGGCCUGUCCCACCCGCUCUGGGCCCUGCUCCAGCCCCGGCCUGUGCUGAAUCGAGAACGGCACGCUCUCUGUGUCUCCACCACCCCCUGCCCUCUCGCCUCCAGCCAUGGCGCCCCUGCUCGCCCUGUUGCUGGUGGCCCUGGUGGGCCUGCCUGUGGCCCAGGCUCUGGAGUGCCACGUGUGUGCCUACGAAGGAGAGAACUGCUUCAACCCCAUGCCCUGCCCGGCCAUGGUCGCCUACUGCAUGACCACGCGCACUUACUACACUCAGACCAAGAUGAAGGUGAGCAAGUCCUGCGUGCCCAGAUGCUUCGAGACCGUGUACGACGGCUACUCCAAGCACGCGUCCACCACGUCCUGCUGCCAGUACGACCUCUGCAACGGCGCUGGCCUCACGGCGCCCGCGACCCUGGCCCUGGCCCUCAUACUCCUGGCCACCCUCUGGGGUCUCCUCUAAAGCCCUGUCCCGCCUCCGCAGACUGUCCAGCACAAAGCUCUGAGCAGCACGGACCCCACCCUCUGCCCUCCCAGACCCCCCAGCCACACCCAGGACUGUCUGCAAGAGAACCCGACCUCCCCUGGCCACCCUGGGGUCAGCUUCCAGGUCACGACCUGUUACUUCCAAAAGGCUCUUGUGGGACCACGCCUCCUGAGGCAUCUGUCCAAGGAUGGGGUGCAGGCAGAGCUGUGCUGGAGGGGGAGGCGAGAUGAGGGACCCAGGGGUGGUGGACAGUGGUAGGACGAAGGCUCUCCAAGGCCCCAAAGGGGCUGUCUCUGUGUCCCUGACUGAGGCGGGAGCUGCCCAGGGCAGGUGUGGCAUGGGGGCUGAGCCACGAAGGCCUGUGUCCCCGUUGGCUGUCCCGGGGAGGGUGCCAGCCUCUGUCCAGUGGCCUGUGGCCGGGGACGGCGUAGGUCCGCCUAAAGAGACCUUCCAGCCCCAGGAGUGGAUUCUGGGUCCAGUGCGGGGGUCUGUCCCUUCUUACUCAGCCAGACCCUUGACCUUCCCCCUCCCCACCCAGCACUGGGCGGCCGCAGGACAGGCCAGGCUAUAUUUGGUCAAGCCUGAGAGCUGAGCCCAGGGCUAUUUUGGGCCAGGAAAGAAGGGAGCAGUGUGGCGGCUGCGGAGGCCUGGCCUUUAGUCCCAUAGCAGGUCCUGGCAGAGUAGAGCCUUUACGGGGGUGGUGGUGGGGGAAACCACCUCGGGGGCGCCAGAGAGGAUUCUGCCAGAGAGGAUUCUUCCCCUCCUCCCACAAGUCGGACAGUCCCCCCGGUGGGGACGGAGGGCACAUCCUCGAACUGGAGCGGGGCGCCCUCUCGUGGCUGCCUGGGGUGGCGCUGGGCAGGGGCAGGCUGGGCCUGGGGGACGGAGCAGGAGGGGGCGGCGGGGAGGGGGGAGUGGAUCCGGAUGGAAGGGAGGGGGAUCGGGGUCAAGAAAGGGGGGGUGCGCACCCCUCGCCCCCUCCUGAGGAGUGACCAUUGUCCCGCCACCUGCAGCAGGCCCCUGUGCUCUGGCCUGCGGGCCCCGCCGGCAUCCUGAACAAGCGGUGGUGCACCGGCCUUGGCCUCCAGGUCUGCUCCAUCCGGAGGGUUGCCAAGGGCCCUGCAAGCUCCACCUCAGGGAGGGGCUCUCAGGAGCCCCCAUGCCAGCUGGGCAUUGGGAUCCCCAGGGACCCAGGCAUGGGCGUUAUUUAAGGGGCACCCACCCAUGGUGAGGCUGGGGAGGCACAGGUGUGUCCAGGGAGCCCAACCCUCCUUCUUGUGAGACCGGACAUGACACGCAGCCACUUUUCUGGGGUCACGCAGCACCAGAGGCCUCCUCACCUGACCACUGCCCCAGUUCCAGUGUUCACAGAGGAGCCCAAGUGGGUGAAACGGUGGCAGGUGCCCAUGUGGGGGGUGGUUCUAGAACUUAGAAGCCCUGGGCCCCGAAGGGUGGCCCUUGUCAGAGGGACCUGUGCUGGAAGUUCCCUCCUGAGAGCUUCCCCCAGGACUGUCAGGCCCCCAGGGAUGGGGACGCUCUGGCAGCCCGGGUCGGGGUCCUUAGGGGCUGGCAGCGUGCUCUGCCCAGACAGC